This 107-nucleotide small nuclear RNA is filed under the name Mus pahari (shrew mouse). The record is from RNAcentral. Lineage: Eukaryota; Metazoa; Chordata; Mammalia; Rodentia; Muridae.
AAGUUCACUUCUGGAUCACAUGUACUAAAAUUGGAGCCAUAUAGAGAAGAUUACCAUGGACCCUGCUCAAGGAUGACAUGCAAAUUCAUGAAAAAAAUCUUAUUGUU